This is a non-coding RNA of Parasteatoda tepidariorum (common house spider), 237 nucleotides long. The record is from RefSeq and is a predicted model, not a curated record. NCBI's taxonomy places the organism in Eukaryota, Metazoa, Arthropoda, Arachnida, Araneae, Theridiidae.
CCGACAUAGCUGGCACGGCAGUAACAAGUGUUGCAGAUACACUCGGUGCUCUUGUUGGAGGAGCCGCCGGAGGAAUUGGUUCUGUUGUAGGCAAUGCUGUUGGUAUACUUGCGGACUUGUAAGCUCGAUAUAUGAUUUGAGAACGUGUUCAAGACAUUGCAAGACGUGUGCAAGAAGCAUUCUAACUAAAAUUGGAUUUUAUGUAAAAUAAUGAAUAAAGUAUGUGUUAUUAAAUAA